Molecule: ribosomal RNA, 500 nt
Filed under: Luteimonas aestuarii
Lineage: Bacteria; Pseudomonadati; Pseudomonadota; Gammaproteobacteria; Lysobacterales; Lysobacteraceae
Description: bacterial SSU rRNA
Rfam family: Bacterial small subunit ribosomal RNA
Source: RNAcentral
CUCCUUGGGUGGCGAGUGGCGGACGGGUGAGGAAUACAUCGGAAUCUGCCUAUUUGUGGGGGAUAACGUAGGGAAACUUACGCUAAUACCGCAUACGACCUACGGGUGAAAGCGGAGGACCUUCGGGCUUCGCGCAGAUAGAUGAGCCGAUGUCGGAUUAGCUAGUUGGCGGGGUAAAGGCCCACCAAGGCGACGAUCCGUAGCUGGUCUGAGAGGAUGAUCAGCCACACUGGAACUGAGACACGGUCCAGACUCCUACGGGAGGCAGCAGUGGGGAAUAUUGGACAAUGGGCGCAAGCCUGAUCCAGCCAUGCCGCGUGGGUGAAGAAGGCCUUCGGGUUGUAAAGCCCUUUUGUUGGGAAAGAAAAGCAGUCGGUUAAUACCCGAUUGUUCUGACGGUACCCAAAGAAUAAGCACCGGCUAACUUCGUGCCAGCAGCCGCGGUAAUACGAAGGGUGCAAGCGUUACUCGGAAUUACUGGGCGUAAAGCGUGCGUAGGU